This 67-nucleotide transfer RNA is filed under the name Pnyxia scabiei. RNAcentral describes it as "tRNA-Trp". The record is from RNAcentral. Lineage: Eukaryota; Metazoa; Arthropoda; Insecta; Diptera; Sciaridae.
AAGAUUUUAAGUUAAAUAAACUAAUAAUCUUCAAAAUUAUUUAUAAAAGAAUCACUUUUAAAUCUUA